AGUUUGAUCCUGGCUCAGGAUGAACGCUAGCGGCAGGCCUAAUACAUGCAAGUCGAACGGUGGUAGCGAUACCAUAGUGGCGCACGGGUGCGUAACGCGUAGCCAACCUACCCGAAUCUGGGGGAUAGCCCGCCGAAAGGCGGAUUAAUACCGCAUAAGACUACAGAAUGGCAUCAUUUUGUAGUUAAAGAUUUAUUGGAUUCGGAUGGGGCUGCGUGCCAUUAGCUAGUUGGGGGGGUAACGGCCCACCAAGGCGACGAUGGCUAGGGGAGCUGAGAGGCUGGUCCCCCACACGGGCACUGAGAUACGGGCCCGACUCCUACGGGAGGCAGCAGUAGGGAAUAUUGGGCAAUGGGCGAGAGCCUGACCCAGCCAUGCCGCGUGCCGGAUGAAGGCCUUCUGGGUCGUAAACGGCUUUUUUCCGGGAAGAACCGGUUCCUUGCGAGGGGCUCUGACGGUACCGGGAGAAUAAGCACCGGCUAACUCCGUGCCAGCAGCCGCGGUAAUACGGAGGGUGCGAGCGUUGUCCGGAUUUAUUGGGUUUAAAGGGUGCGUAGGCGGCCGCGUAAGUCUGGGGUGAAAGCCCGUUGCUCAACAACGGAACUGCCCUGGAAACUGCGUGGCUUGAGUCCAGACGAGGUUGGCGGAAUGGGCGGUGUAGCGGUGAAAUGCAUAGAUACCGUCCAGAACACCGAUUGCGAAGGCAGCUGACUAGGCUGGUACUGACGCUGAGGCACGAAAGCGUGGGGAGCGAACAGGAUUAGAUACCCUGGUAGUCCACGCCGUAAACGAUGGAUACUCGCUGCCAGCGAUAGAUAGUUGGUGGCUUAGCGAAAGCGUUAAGUAUCCCACCUGGGGAGUACGCCCGCAAGGGUGAAACUCAAAGGAAUUGACGGGGGCCCGCACAAGUGGUGGAGCAUGUGGUUUAAUUCGAUAAUACGCGAGGAACCUUACCUAGGCUAGAAUGCGCGUGACCGGUUCGGAGACGAACCUUUCCUUCGGGACACAAAGCAAGGUGCUGCAUGGCUGUCGUCAGCUCGUG
Molecule: ribosomal RNA, 1042 nt
Filed under: uncultured bacterium
Lineage: Bacteria
Description: bacterial SSU rRNA
Rfam family: Bacterial small subunit ribosomal RNA
Source: RNAcentral